Molecule: ribosomal RNA, 355 nt
Filed under: Klebsiella pneumoniae
Lineage: Bacteria; Pseudomonadati; Pseudomonadota; Gammaproteobacteria; Enterobacterales; Enterobacteriaceae
Description: bacterial SSU rRNA
Rfam family: Bacterial small subunit ribosomal RNA
Source: RNAcentral
GGCUCACCUAGGCGACGAUCCCUAGCUGGUCUGAGAGGAUGACCAGCCACACUGGAACUGAGACACGGUCCAGACUCCUACGGGAGGCAGCAGUGGGGAAUAUUGCACAAUGGGCGCAAGCCUGAUGCAGCCAUGCCGCGUGUGUGAAGAAGGCCUUCGGGUUGUAAAGCACUUUCAGCGGGGAGGAAGGCGGUGAGGUUAAUAACCUCACCGAUUGACGUUACCCGCAGAAGAAGCACCGGCUAACUCCGUGCCAGCAGCCGCGGUAAUACGGAGGGUGCAAGCGUUAAUCGGAAUUACUGGGCGUAAAGCGCACGCAGGCGGUCUGUCAAGUCGGAUGUGAAAUCCCCGGGCU